UACGAAGGGGGCUAGCGUUGCUCGGAAUCACUGGGCGUAAAGCGCGCGUAGGCGGAUCGUUAAGUCGGGGGUGAAAUCCUGGAGCUCAACUCCAGAACUGCCUUUGAUACUGGCGAUCUUGAGUCCGGGAGAGGUGAGUGGAACUCCGAGUGUAGAGGUGAAAUUCGUAGAUAUUGGGAAGAACACCGGUGGCGAAGGCGGCUCACUGGCUCGUAACUGACGCUCAGGCGCGAUAGCGUGGGGAUCAAACAGG
This 253-nucleotide ribosomal RNA is filed under the name uncultured bacterium. RNAcentral's name for it is "partial 16S ribosomal RNA". It matches the Rfam family "Bacterial small subunit ribosomal RNA", at positions 524 to 776 of the family's 1533-position model. The record is from RNAcentral.